CCCCCCCCAUUUUUUUUCACAUCCCCCUUUCCCUUUUUCCAAAACUGAUCUCAAUUCAAAUUUCUAAUGGAGUUCGCAACAAUAAGUACUCAUUUAAAUACAUCAUAAAAUAUUAAAAUGUAACAAAAGGUGCUUGUUAUCACUGAAUGGUAAAGAUUGUUUUAAUUUAUCAGUUGGUAGUAAAAGUGAAUAUACAUUGUAUUGUAUAAAACAAUGAUUUAAGUUGAUUCAACUACUAUUCUGGACAAAGAAAGAUAACUCCAAUCAAUUGAAAAUUUCUUGCUAUUGCACAAUAUUGUGCAAUUAGAUAGUUCUUGCUAUUGCGCAAUACUGUGCAAUUGAAAAUAUUUGCUAUUGCACAAUACUGUGCAAUUGAAAAUUUCUUGUUAUUGCGCAAUACUGUGCAAUUGAAAAUUUCUUGCUAUUGCACAAUACUGUGCAAUUGAAGAUUUCUUGCUAUUGCUGAAUACUGUGCAAUUGAAAAUUUCUUGCUAUAUUGCACAAUACUUAAUAUUAUAAUUUUGGAUCCUGAUUUGAACCAACUUGAAAACUGGGCCCAUAAUCAAAAAAUCUAAGUACAUGUUUAGA
This 588-nucleotide long non-coding RNA is filed under the name Mytilus galloprovincialis (Mediterranean mussel). Lineage: Eukaryota; Metazoa; Mollusca; Bivalvia; Mytilida; Mytilidae. The record is from RNAcentral.